AUCGCUUCUCUGCCUUUUGGAUAAGAGUAAAUGUAAUAUCUGUUCUUGUCAGUUUAAUAUGUGAUACGUCUUCUUCCGAGGACAAUAUAUUAAUUGUAUUUUUGGAUCAGGGAGAAACAAAAAAAAAAGAGAGACUCCAU
This is a small nuclear RNA of Callithrix jacchus (white-tufted-ear marmoset), 140 nucleotides long. Its record names the gene U2. It matches the Rfam family "U2 spliceosomal RNA". Rfam says of the family: U2 is a small nuclear RNA (snRNA) component of the spliceosome (involved in pre-mRNA splicing). Complementary binding between U2 snRNA (in an area lying towards the 5' end but 3' to hairpin I) and the branchpoint sequence (BPS) of the intron results the bulging out of an unpaired adenosine, on the BPS, which initiates a nucleophilic attack at the intronic 5' splice site, thus starting the first of two transesterification reactions that mediate splicing. Lineage: Eukaryota; Metazoa; Chordata; Mammalia; Primates; Cebidae. The record is from Ensembl.